RNAcentral lists this unclassified non-coding RNA (285 nucleotides) under Hevea brasiliensis (rubber tree). Lineage: Eukaryota; Viridiplantae; Streptophyta; Magnoliopsida; Malpighiales; Euphorbiaceae. The record is from RNAcentral.
CAUUUAGCCACUUUCUUAUAAAUUCAUAGACAUAGUCAAAUGCUUGUACAUCAGUUUGUUUAUAUGCAGCUUCAUUUGUUACAUAUGAAAAUCCAGUGUUUAUUGGUUGAUCCAAAAAUAUUACACUUGCUAUCUUGGUCCAUGCGUGUGGGUUUACUACGAACGAGGGCAUACUCUCAUCGUAGACUUGUUCCACAAAACGGAGUGGUCCUAUCCCAUUAACAAUGGCAGUGACAGCCGAGCAACCGGGCCCACCAGGUAGCCAAAUCAAAAGAGGAUCGGUAG